RNAcentral lists this ribosomal RNA (229 nucleotides) under uncultured bacterium. RNAcentral's name for it is "partial 16S ribosomal RNA". It matches the Rfam family "Bacterial small subunit ribosomal RNA", at positions 568 to 796 of the family's 1533-position model. The record is from RNAcentral.
CGCGUAGGCGGUCAGGCAAGUCGGAUGUGAAAUCCCUCGGCUCAACCGAGGAACUGCAUCCGAAACUGCCCGACUUGAGUCCCGGAGAGGGUAGCGGAAUUCCCAGUGUAGCGGUGAAAUGCGUAGAUACUGGGAGGAACACCAGUGGCGAAGGCGGCUACCUGGACGGUGACUGACGCUGAGGCGCGAAAGCGUGGGGAGCGAACAGGAUUAGAUACCCUGGUAGUCC